This 950-nucleotide ribosomal RNA is filed under the name Meripilus neovitreus. Its description in RNAcentral is "Physisporinus sp. CGW-2022o partial large subunit ribosomal RNA". It matches the Rfam family "Eukaryotic large subunit ribosomal RNA", at positions 17 to 951 of the family's 3401-position model. Lineage: Eukaryota; Fungi; Basidiomycota; Agaricomycetes; Polyporales; Meripilaceae. The record is from RNAcentral.
AGGGGUACCCGCUGAAACUUAAGCAUAUCAAUAAGCGGAGGAAAAGAAACUAACAAGGAUUCCCCUAGUAACUGCGAGUGAAGCGGGAAAAGCUCAAAUUUAAAAUCUGGCAGUCUUUGAUUGUCCGAGUUGUAAUCUGGAGAAGUGCUUUCCGCGCUGGACCGUGUACAAGUCUCUUGGAAUAGAGCGUCAUAGAGGGUGAGAAUCCCGUCUUUGACACGGACUACCAGUGCUUUGUGAUGCGCUUUCAAAGAGUCGAGUUGUUUGGGAAUGCAGCUCAAAAUGGGUGGUAAAUUCCAUCUAAAGCUAAAUAUUGGCGAGAGACCGAUAGCGAACAAGUACCGUGAGGGAAAGAUGAAAAGCACUUUGGAAAGAGAGUUAAACAGUACGUGAAAUUGCUGAAAGGGAAACACUUGAAGUCAGUCGCGUUGUUCAGAACUCAGCCUAGCCUUGGCUUGGUGCAUUUUCUGAAUAACGGGCCAGCAUCAAUUUUGACUGUUGGAUAAAGGCCGAGGAAAUGUGGCUCCUUUGGGAGUGUUAUAGUCCUUGGUUGCAUACAAUGGUUGGGAUUGAGGAACUCAGCAUGCCUUUAUGGUCGGGGUUCGCCCACGUUCAUGCUUAGGAUGCUGGCGUAAUGGCUUUAAAUGACCCGUCUUGAAACACGGACCAAGGAGUCUAACAUGCCUGCGAGUGUUUGGGUGGAAAACCCGAGCGCGCAAUGAAAGUGAAAGUUGGGAUCCCUGUCGUGGGGAGCACCGACGCCCGGACCAGACCUUCUGUGACGGAUCCGCGGUAGAGCAUGUAUGUUGGGACCCGAAAGAUGGUGAACUAUGCCUGAAUAGGGUGAAGCCAGAGGAAACUCUGGUGGAGGCUCGUAGCGAUUCUGACGUGCAAAUCGAUCGUCAAAUUUGGGUAUAGGGGCGAAAGACUAAAUCGAACCCUUUUGGCCC